This 21-nucleotide non-coding RNA is filed under the name Caenorhabditis elegans. Lineage: Eukaryota; Metazoa; Nematoda; Chromadorea; Rhabditida; Rhabditidae. The record is from RNAcentral.
UUUACACUUGUAGCAACCAAA